Molecule: ribosomal RNA, 520 nt
Filed under: uncultured bacterium
Lineage: Bacteria
Description: partial 16S ribosomal RNA
Rfam family: Bacterial small subunit ribosomal RNA
Source: RNAcentral
GACGAACGCUGGCGGCGUGCCUAAUACAUGCAAGUCGAACGCACUCUCGUUUAGAUUGAAGGAGUUUGCUCCUGAUUGAUAAACAUUUGAGUGAGUGGCGGACGGGUGAGUAACACGUGGGUAACCUGCCCUAAAGUGGGGGAUAACAUUUGGAAACAGAUGCUAAUACCGCAUAAAACCUAACACCGCAUGGUGUAGGGUUGAAAGAUGGUUUCGGCUAUCACUUUAGGAUGGACCCGCGGUGCAUUAGUUAGUUGGUGAGGUAAAGGCUCACCAAGACCGCGAUGCAUAGCCGGUCUGAGAGGGUAAUCGGCCACACUGGGACUGAGACACGGCCCAGACUCCUACGGGAGGCAGCAGUAGGGAAUUUUGCACAAUGGGCGAAAGUCUGAUGGAGCAACGCCGCGUGAGUGAAGAAGGUUUUCGGAUCGUAAAGCUCUGUUGUUGGAGAAGAAUGUAACUGAGAGAAACUGAUCAGGUAGUGACGGUAUCCAAAGAGAAAGCAACGGCUAACUACGUG